Long non-coding RNA from Passer domesticus (house sparrow), 1700 nucleotides. RefSeq lists it as uncharacterized. The transcript is spliced from 2 exons. NCBI's taxonomy places the organism in Eukaryota, Metazoa, Chordata, Aves, Passeriformes, Passeridae. The record is from RefSeq and is a predicted model, not a curated record.
GGGACCUCCGGGGCCCUGACUGCCCUGAGCAGGGGCGCCCGGUGUUAGGUGUCCCCGCCCAUGGCUGGGGAGGCUGGAAGGAGAUGAGCUUAAAGGCCCUUUCCCAACCCAAACCACUGCAUGGUUGGUUUUUCCAGAGAACACCGAGGAGCCUUCCCAGAAAAACAGCCAAACCCCACAGAAUCACUGCAUAUUCUGAGCUGGAAGGGAUCCUCCAGAAACAAGGGUCAGGUUGGAAGGGACCACCCUGGGUCAUCUGAUGCAACCUCCCUGCUCAGGCAUGGUCACCCUGGAGCACAUGGCACAGGAUUGCAUCCAGGUUCCUUGAUCAGUGCCAUUCUGAGAUCCGCAGCUGAGGAUCAGCAAUGCACACAAACUGCUUCUGAGCAAGCCAGAUCCACAAGUCUAACCUGUCAGAGACAACACUGCCUGUGGCCCUGCCAUUCCACUUCUGCAGAGCCAGUGACUGGAAUUGGAGACACGAUGUGAUGGAGAGAAAGCGCAGGCAGUGGAAGUCUGAUUUUGCCAAUGCAAUUUUGCUUUUGCAAAAACAAAAAGCAUUCCAAGUACAGUUCUGCUGGGAUGUGGGGAUCCUGGGACAUGCCUCUCCAUCUGCUUAUCACUGCUGCUGGCAUCCUCCCCUGAGGUUGAUUGCUUCUCUACCAGCCUUACUGAUGUCCAGGUGUGGGACUGAGGUGUGCUGUUUCACUAAAGGUAGACUGAGGACAGAGCCAAGCAACUCAGUGAUUCAGACCAGACUGAAGCCUCGUGCCCGAACUGGUUUGUGUUCUUUCUCCUCAAGGUAGUUGGCCUUGAGGGGCAAUUUCAUUAGAGAUCAGCUCCUGUACGCAGCCCGUAAUUGAUGGUGGAAGGGUCCCCCUACGCUGCAUUUCAAUACCAAAACACAGAUGCAGGCUGCCAUCCAAACCUAAAGGCAGCUGCUCAAAAAUGUGUGGGAAGAGCAACUUCAGAGGGACUCAAAUGGAAUAUUUUUAGAUAAGGGUGGGAAAAUAGAAACAAAUAUAAGGAGCAAAGGCGAGGAGAGGAAAGGCAAGGACAUCGUGAAAACAAGCCCUGAAAAAAGCUGUGAGGGGACCAACCUCCUUGUGGCUGAACAGAGGCUGAAGAAGGGAAGACUGGAGGAGUGAGUGGACACUUUCCACCCUCACUUUCUCUUGUGAUUUUCUUCCUUUUGUGCUGGAGCCAUGCAUGUCACUUGUAAACAAGGUUGCAUCAGAGAACUCGAGCACCCGUCCUUCAUUUCUGCUUUAUUGCUUGAGUCAAUAUAAACAGCACUGUGUUUGCUCUCUAUUUGUGUUAGCCAAUCUAAAUAUCAAAUCACUCUUACCUUUGUACUGAGAUGGAGUGAUUUUAUAAAACUCUACUGCAGUUUCGUUAGUUUCAGACCUUGGAACCCAAACACAGCCUCAAUUCCUUUGAGUUUCUUUUUGGCUGGUUUGUUUGUUUUAAAAUCUAGAACUUAAGACAUUUCUAAUAAAAACAUGCUACUCAACAAUUCUGCAGGAGAACUAGUAAUGCUGUGAUUCAGCAGUAGUUGUAAGGCUACCAAUAUAGAAAAAGCCACUUCAAGAUAAAUGAUUAAACACUGUCAUGUUUAUGUACAUUGUAUUUAGCCAAAAAGUAAUAAGCUAAUGUUUAAUACAAAGAAUGAACCACAUAAUAAAUUGAAACUUAAUUAA